UCUCCUCGGUCCUCUCUUCCGGCCCUCCUUCAAGGCGGCGCGCACACCUCCUUCAGAUUUCCUCAUGGGAAUUCCUUUCCGAAGUUCCGGCGCGGGAAGUCGUCCUUCUUGCCUCGCCUCGCCGGCACCGGCUGCUGCGGUUCGUUGCGGCUGAUUGGACGAUGCGCGGAUAUACGUGCAUGAUGCAUCCGCGUUCGCCAAUCCCGCGAUUCCGCCGACUAAUUUUGUCGGCUUUUAGUUAUUUAAUCAUAGUGAAAAAGAGCCGAGCGAGACGACGCGUCUGUCGAUUAACACAUUAUAAGUUUGAGAUAAUUUAGGAUAAGCGCGCCGCUCGUUAAUGAAUCUCUUAUGUAAACACAGCUAUCCCUUGUAAAACUUUAUUCGACAAGACUUUCCGUAAAUCUUUUUUAUUCUAAAGAGAAUCUCAGCGUUCCAGUGCUAAUAAUAAUCAUUAGCGUGUGAUUUUGAACCGAAUUGAUAAAAGAAAAUUUAAGAAGAACAUGAGAUUCGCACUUAGUGCGCAAUCUCCUCGGAAUAGGUUGGAGAAAAAGGUGAAUUUUUCCACGCGCAGAAUCGUAAAAAUCCCGUAACCGGGCGAAGGUGGGGUGGUCCAAGGGCAGGAAAGGCGGUGGGACAGAAGAGAACGGGGUUGAAAAAUAAGGGCGAGGUCAGUCGGACGCGAGCCGCGGAAAAAUUCGCGUUAAUUUCAAAGGUCGACGUCGUGUUUUCGAUGCGUUAAAGUGCAUUGUCCCCUCCGUUGAAAUACCGGUGCACUUUGGAUCCUCCGUAUGCAUCCAGUCUAGUUCGACAUCAAAUCGAAUCGGGAGAAUAUACCUACCUCUCAAUGAAUAAAACAGCGUCAAAUCAUAGCCAGAAAUAUCCGACAUGUUGGAAGACAUUAGUGAGAUUCUUCGGUAAGGGCUACGACCGCCCCUUUCUUCGGUCUCCGUUGAAAAUAUUUCCGGCCAUUUUUCGUCCCCACCAGCGCAGUCCACCCUCUGAAAGAAAAGUACCAAAGAUGGGGUAGUCAUAAAGGAGUAAAACAAUGGAAAAAGUACCGCCAUCUUUAAUUCUGUCCCUAUUCGUCGCAUCAAGAAUAAAAGUUCAAAUAUUUGAGAAGAAAGGAACAAAGUAAAAUCGAUAGAUUCAGUUUUGUAAAACUUUUUGAACUGUUUUAGUUAACACAUUAUUUUUACCAACAUCAUUAUCGCAAAUUGUUUUAUUGUAAGAAAAAAUAGAUCAUGCAUCAGUCGUAUUAAUAUUGAGUUAAAAAUUAUAGUUUAUCAUAAUAAUUAUUAAUUUUCUUAUUUAAAUUUAUAAAAAUAAUUUCAAGCUGUAAUUAUAAAUUAUAACCCAAAAAUGAUUACUUUUAGAAAUUAUAGAUAGAUAAUUCCGUGUUUAUGUUGCACAUUAUAACCGACAGUUAAUCGUAGAAUAUCUAACUGGUAUAACAUAUCUUGGAACAUCAUAGAAAUCAACAGGUUCGAGUCGUAGUUACUAGAUGGAGAUAUUAGCGUAAGUAACUAAUUUGUGUGCUAAUUUAAUUAUUGAAUUAUUGUGCACAAUCCAGAUUCUUUAGUAAAUAAAGGUAAUUUUGCUAUUGUACUACAUACUCAUUGAUACAAAAAUAGUGUUAAAAAUGUAGUCUUAAUUACGACAUUAUUUUUAUCAUUUGCCGUCAUAGGCGAGAAUUUGAUAAGAUAAAAAAAACAUUUUAUGACUAAAUUGCAAUAUGUACAAUCCAGUUUUAUAUAUUUUUUAAACUAAUAAUUAAUUUAAAAUAAUUUAAUAAUUUCUCUUAAGAUUACAAAAAAUACUUUUAUUACAUUUUUACUUAAAAUUAUUUAAUUUUAAAAAUAUACAUUACUCAACUGUCAUAUUUUAGAGUAUUUUAUUUUACUGAGAACUUAUUUACGUAGAUAAUUAUCCUUAAUUGUGGCUUUGUUCUUUUAUAAAAUUACAGUGACGUCUGUUUUAUCGAUAAAAACUGUUGUGAUACAUAAGUUACAAUUCCUUUUACACAAUUAAAAUACACAUCUUAAUGUAUGUAGGUUUAUUUUUGCCAAAAACAGGAAUUAAAAAAUUAUAUAUUUCCUUAAUAUGACCAAAACUGUCCAACCAAAAUUCACUGAAAUAUUUAUUUUGUAGAAAAAAAUAUACAGAUUAUAUAUGUAAAAUAAAAACAGAAAGAGAGAGAGAGAGAGAGCAAAGCCAAGUUUAAAAUUAAAUAAAUAAUGUUGAAUCGUUAGAAUUAAGUUUAAAAGCCUAAUUUAAAAGAAUAUUUAACAAACUGUAUACAUGUAUAUAUGAAAUUUCAAUGUGUAGUAUGUAAGAAUCUGUUGAUGUUUCAUACGGUUUUCGAAAUAUAGGUACUGAAAUUAAUCUUAUCUUCUUAAUUUCAUUAGUUUUUUAUGUAUGUGAUAGAUAGUUUAUACACAUAUUAGUUUUAUUAGAGUUAUUUCAAGAUAAUAUUUACGUUUUCCUGCUUGAUCUCAUCAGGCAUUAGUCGUAUUGCAUUUUAUACAUGCUAUGCAUAUAGAUUUUUUACUUUCCACGCGUAGCAAGGUCUAUCCUACACUUCUUUCCCCUCUCCCCUUCUUUCAAAGCGAAAUAAGGUCUACAAUUUGUACUGUUAUAUUUUUCAAACUUUCUUAUCGAUAACGUUUCAAUAAACAGUGAUCGUCGAUUAAAAUUUUUACAGAUUACUUCAAUUUCAAAAUCGUGACCCUGAUAGCAUUGAUAAGAAAUAUAUAAAUGUCAAGAGCUCUCAAAAUUUAAAUACGAUAAUACAAAUUUACAGUUAGCAGACCGUAAAAUAAAAGUAUAACUUUAAAACACAAAUGUUUUGAUUUAUUUAGAGUCAUCAUUGGCGAAAGAAUAUUUCAUGAAAGUUCUUUACCAAAUAUAUCAAGAUCAAAGAGAUUAUGGAAAGUGUUCAUUAUUUUAAAUCAAAUUUAAUAUUUUCUGAUUUUAUAAAAAUAAAGUUUUAUUUUAGGCGAACUGACUUCGAAUUUUAUAUAAGUAUAUCUCGAAAACAAGACCGCUGUACAAAACUGCUGAUCAAUUUAGAAGAUCAGUACUUUUUCAACUGUAUAACAUUUGUUUCAAGACCAAAGUCAUCGGAGCGAUGUCUUCUAAUGUAAAGAUGUAAAGAUGUAGGAAAAAAAUGGAAAAAUUUAAUGCUAGAAUAAUUUCAUGACUGCAAACAACUUUAUAUAAUCUCAUCACUGCUCAAUCAUAUAAUAUGUAUAAGUCAUUAUUACAUAUUUUACAUAUUUUAAAUUUUAUUUGUGUGGAAUGUAUAUUAACAGAAUAAAAAUAAUUUUUAAAAA
Molecule: long non-coding RNA, 3332 nt
Organism: Monomorium pharaonis (pharaoh ant)
Lineage: Eukaryota; Metazoa; Arthropoda; Insecta; Hymenoptera; Formicidae
Exons: 2
Source: RefSeq, a predicted model, not a curated record